CAGCCGCCGCGGGAAUACGAAGGGGGCUAGCGUUGUUCGGAAUUACUGGGCGUAAAGCGCACGUAGGCGGAUAUUUAAGUCAGGGGUGAAAUCCCGCAGCUCAACUGCGGAACUGCCUUUGAUACUGGGUAUCUUGAGUAUGGAAGAGGUUAGUGGAAUUGCGAGUGUAGAGGUGAAAUUCGUAGAUAUUCGCAGGAACACCAGUGGCGAAGGCGGCUAACUGGUCCAUAACUGACGCUGAGGUGCGAAAGCGUGGGGAGCAAACAGGAUUAGAUACCCCCGUAGUCCCUGUCUCUUAGAC
This 301-nucleotide ribosomal RNA is filed under the name uncultured bacterium. RNAcentral describes it as "partial 16S ribosomal RNA". It matches the Rfam family "Bacterial small subunit ribosomal RNA", at positions 509 to 807 of the family's 1533-position model. The record is from RNAcentral.